UACGUAGGGGGCAAGCGUUGUCCGGAUUUAUUAGGCGUAAAGCGCUCGCAGGUGGUCCGCUGCGUCGUGCGUGAAAGACCCCGGCUCAACUGGGGGAUGUCGUGCGAUACGGGCGGACUGGAGGCCAGUAGGGGGAUGCGGAAUUCCGGGUGUAGUGGUGGAAUGCGUAGAGAUCCGGAGGAACACCAGCGGCGAAGGCGGCAUCCUGGACUGGUCCUGACACUCAGGAGCGAAAGCGUGGGGAGCGAUCCGG
This 253-nucleotide ribosomal RNA is filed under the name uncultured bacterium. Its description in RNAcentral is "partial 16S ribosomal RNA". It matches the Rfam family "Bacterial small subunit ribosomal RNA", at positions 524 to 776 of the family's 1533-position model. The record is from RNAcentral.